UGAUAAACAUCACAAAUGCAUAAAUCUAGAUACAAGGACAGCAAGGUACAUAUUUCAUAACGGGGUUCACAAGCCCAUCAUACAACACAAAAUAUAGCAGCGGAAGUUUCAUAAUUUCUCAUAAGCAAAAGAAAAACCUGUGGUGUGCCAACAACCCCACAAGGGCAACCAAUCGGGGCAAGAGCGAACUUCAACUACUCGCUACCCUCGCCACCCUUGGUGGGAUAGUAGUAGGGCACAACAUCAACGCCGGCAUCCUCACCUGAAAAUAGCAACAUGAGUACGAAAGGUACUCCGCAAGACUUACACCAUAUAUGAUAGUACAAAGGAGUAUGCAAAUUUCUACAUCAAAGGAAAUGGCUAAGUGGUUCAGAUUUUGCAUAGAGCUAAUUUUGUUGAGCAAGUAGUAAGUUGCAAAUAUAACAUUUGUACAAAAUAGCAUAAUCCGAAAUUUAGGACAGCAAGCAAGUAAAUCUGAAAUUGAAUCACAAAUGAGCACAACCGGUGCUCUCAUCACCAUCCAUGGGCUACCGUUGCCCAACCAUGGAUUCCAAACAUAACUAUCACCAUAUCCAUGACUAAACCAGCCAUUUAACCCAAGUUUGAUGCUAACAUAGACUGACUAACACAUCAAGCGAUCGUCCUAUAACCGUGGACACGGCUAUUCGAAUAGUUUUACUCUGAUCAGAGGUGUACAACUUUACCCACACGAAAUGAACAAGGAUCAAAUGCUUCACACGCACACAGGUGUGACCUACAAGUGAUACAAGCUCAUAACAUGUCCUUUCCUAGUGACACCCCAACCACCUAAACCACGCCUAGGCCCCCGUCGACUUAGCCACGUGCGUGUGAUGUGGCCAGCUCACCAUCGCGGGAGAAACCCCCUGCCAAAAUCAGGCACACCCGGGGCAAUCCAAAGGGAAAACCACCCUCACGAAUGACCAGCAAGACGUAGAUGAGCACAGUGCAACAUAGUACUAAGACAAGCCGGUCCCAAAUAAGGUGUGUGGAAGUACGUAUGGUGCUUGAAUAGACGUCAACAUGUUCGGUCCUUAACAACCCAGACAAGGCUACUUGCAUCAGGGAAAAUGACCAUCCCGUCAUCGCCCUAUCACACGUCCAAGCUAAAGCAUGUUUCCAUAUUAAUCAUUGAGUGAGGUAAUCAGAUUUUAAUGCCCAUAAAUCGCGGGUGGUGAAUAAGUUCAUCCGAUGGCUCCAUCCAUCGAUUUCUAACAACAGUAGACCUAAGCAUGGCUAAGCAUUCGAUGAUAGAAUAAACCAUCCUAACCAUUUACAAUUGAAGGUGACAAGGUUACAUGGCAACAAUAUAUUAAAGGAAGGGAAAUGCAUGAACUUGGAUAUAAACAACUCUACCCGUUACCGACAUUUUAAGGCAAUUCAACUUAUGCAUAUAUAUAGUUUUUGCAAGCAAAUAAGUUUUGUGAAAUCAUAGGUUCAAUAUCCAUAGACGCUUGCCUUGCUGCUGUGCGGAAACACACUCAACCUCUGAGUCUUGCUCCACGUAUUCCAAAUUCUCCGAAUCUACCAAUAAGAGGCAAAUAUGCAAAUAAGAUUCAAAUAAAUAUGCAUAUGCAACAUGCUCUAUAAAUCAUGGCCUAAUUACAGUAGGUAGAGAGUAUGAUAAACUAAUUUUAGGAACAAGAAUCAACUCAUUUACAUUUAUGGUUUGAGAGGUAUAAAAAUAACAAGCCAUAUACACUGAAAAUGGCAUUGUUUCAGUUACAUAUGAACUAACCUAAGUCAUAUGAAAAACUGACAUUUUCUUAACAGAAGUUGAAAAGUUUUCCUUUACAAACAUAAGGUCUACAAGGUUAUGAAUACACAGGGAUUUGAUUCAUUCAAAGAUGAGUUAAAAUGAAAUACUUAUGGAUUUUUGAAGUUUUCCCAUUUCUCAACAAGGUCCAGCUUCUUCUCCAAUUGAGCAGGAAGCAGAGACAGCCAUGGCUGAGCUCGAUCUCAAGCUCGCUGGCAGCAAACGAUGGCUCUAAUUGGGGCAAGGUCAAAAGAGAACAUGGAGAACAAGUCUUUGAGAUUCCAUUCCUAUACUCUACCCAGCCCAGUGGUGGCCGGACAGGUGCAGGCAGCGGCUGCAAGUGGCAGCGCUCGGGAUGUCAUGCAUGUAACGAUGCAGCGCUGUGGGUGGUUCGCUCUAUUGCAUGCAUGUCAAGAACAUCACAUGCAAGAAAAACAUACAUUAAGGACUUGAUCCUACUGCUAAGAAGACACUUUUUGGCUUGAGGUGAAGAGCUGAUACCUCACCAAAACAGGGAAGCAAAGAAGACACCGAGCAGUUGUCACCAAAGGAGAGAAAACAACGUGCAACCUGCUCCUAGCCUUGAAAUCUUGAACCGGCGACCGGUGGAGGAGGCUAGGAAUGCUCAGCAUAUUAGGGAACCUAAGAGAGAAGCUAUGGAUGGGGAAGGAAGCUCACCAAGUGGAGGAAAACGAAGUGUUACUGCUACUGCACCAAGCAGCAAGCUCCUUCUCUUUUCUUCUCGAUCUCCCUCACAAAUCUAUGCAUGUGCAAGCCAUUUGGAUGGAUGGAAAGCUUAGAAUCACAAGGAUCUAGUGGUGUGACAUGCAGGGCU
RNAcentral lists this long non-coding RNA (2609 nucleotides) under Oryza sativa (Asian cultivated rice). RNAcentral describes it as "long non-coding RNA (OSAT_LNC001822)". Lineage: Eukaryota; Viridiplantae; Streptophyta; Magnoliopsida; Poales; Poaceae. The record is from RNAcentral.